ACUUGAAAAUAAAAUGAUAUAAUCUUCUUUAAUUAAAUCGAAUUCCUUUCCGAUAAGUAAAAAUUACAAAAAUUUCCAUAAAAUUUCAACUUCAGUAUAAUAGGAUCAUCUUUAUAAAUCUUCAUUUCCUAUCUAAUCUUCGAAUCUUUAUGUUCUAUCUACCAAAUAAUUUCCUUACUCCAAUACUUUAUUACAAUAUCAAAUCUUUACGUAAAUAAAAUGCAAAAUUACUACAAUCCUCUUCGAAUCAUAUUCGAUCCAAUCGCGUUUCGUUAUCAUCAAAAAUUAUUUGAUCAAAAAAAAAGUCUCCCAAUUUCUCGCUUCACUUUUAUCUCAAAAUUUCUUCAUUCAAAUUCAAACAACACAACAACAAAUAAAAAAAUUCUUCUCGAAUCUUUCCGAUCGUGCAAAGUUUAAAAUCGAGUCAUCUUUAAAUGCAAAAAGAGAGGAAAAAAAGAAAGAAGAAAAAAAGGAAAAAGAUUGCUAAACGGCAAUUUCAUCGUGAACGGAAAUGACAAAUCGUAGAUACGUCAAGGUACCGGAGGAGGAAAGAAUUUGCAAGAAGAUUAUCGCGAUUUCGAUACGGUCGAAGAUUGUUUCCUUUCGUCACACCUGAGCAUACGCCGCGUUUCCAUCGAAUUCGCCUCGGAGGGAACCGUGUUCGAAGCAACAGCUGCCGGCCGAUCCCUUCCUCCUCCGAGAAUUAAAACGAGACCCAGUUGCCAAAGAAGGGAGCGUCCCUCGACGAAACCCACCGGCCAUGGUACACUUAUCCUUUCGCCUCGAAUCACCUUUAUAACCAUCCUAAUAUUUCUAGGUUGACCGCACGAUACAGAUACGGGGAAUCGCCGAGUCUAUUCUUGUUGCGCGUUGUACUCUUUCAUAACAUCGAACAGUAGUAUGACGUAGUUAUGCUUUACGGGAGUUCAUUCAUGACGUUUGGGUUAAAUUAACGUUUCACUGCAAAUGUUUGGAUGAUACGUUGUUUGGAAAAAUAUAAAAAAAAGCAUUGGUAUAUUGUCAUCAUAAAAAUAACAUUCGGCUGCAUUUAUCUUCAAAACGUGUUAAAAAGUGAAAUCGUAUCGUCGUUAAGUAAAAAAAGGAAAAAAAACACUUUACUAAUGAAAAGGGAAAAGAGGCAAUCUCAAUUUUCCUAAUUAGUAAUUGAUAAAAAAAACUGGAACAGAAUCGUGUCAUCCUCGAAUAUGGUAUUGAUACGACGAAAAAUAACUCGAUUCUCAAAAAAGAAGAAAGAAAAAGAAACGGUAUGUUCAUCUUCGUAUCAAACAAGAAGGGAGGGGGAAAAAAUGGAGCGAAAUACAAAGGGUUUGUUGUACAUUGGUUUCGAACUUGUUCUUUUUUUUUUUUUUUUUUUUUUUGUUUCUUUUCUUGAAACAAUUAGCGAGCAACUAAUCUGAAGGACGCUCAUUAUUGCAGAGAAACGUAUGUUCAAUACGAAGAUAUCCUUAUCGCUAUUGGAAUGCAAUGGUUGGUUCACUAUUUUUUUUUUCUUUUUUUUAUUGAUACAAUGACGUUUAUCCAACGAACUGAAAAAAGAAAUCGAGAUUCGUCAUGUUCUAAUAAUGAAAAGAUCUUUGAGAGGUAAUUUUUUUUUUCAAUUUUUUACGAUUAUAAUAUAAGAUACGUUAUCAGUGUGUGUGCGCUAUGUCUCGCACAAUUUAUUCUAAAUUUGUACCAAAAUUAAUCAUUGCCAGAAAUUGGCGCACAAUAUUAAUUGCGGAGUGACGAGGAGAGUUCAACGAUAGUAUCAUUAUCGGUAUUUCAUAUUCAUCCCACGAAUCUUUUAUAAUUAUUAGGUCAAUCAUUUCUAUCAUUUCUUGCUGUUACAAGUGUGAAAUAGCAAAAAUUGCAGAGAGUAAUUAUUAUUCAAACUUGUGAUAAGCUUGUCCAGUUAUUAUUACUCAAUCAUAUUAUUCAUCGAUAAAAUUGUUAUUCAUAUUCUAAUACGAAACAUUGCACGUACGUAUAACGACAAAAGAGAUGAUAAUAGGAUUCUCGUUAUUCGAUAAAUACAAUAUGAAUAUAAUGUAUGAUAAUCAAGGCACAAAUAGUUCGAGAUAAAUGUUCGUUGAAUCUUUCUUAAUUUUUUUUUUUUUUUUUUUAUCAAAUAGACAACAUUCUUCAAAUAAAAUUUUCAUUAUCUAUUAUUAUUUAAUUUACUAAUUAUUUAAUAAAAAAUAUUACGCUUUCGAGAAUCCCAAGAAACAUAAUCUCGAUAAAACGUUCCUUUUUUUGUUAAUUUCCAAAAGUCACGCGAUUACUUUUAAUUCUAAUCAGAAAACACGGCGCACCCUUAUGAUAUAUUUUUCGAGAGAAUUCUAAUUUCAAUUCCCGUGUAUCGUCCCCCACGAUACACCAUAAGGGAAGCAUGUUUCGUUACAAAAUAGACAUAACAAUUAUAGCCACGUGUUUCCGUGAACCAAGUGCGAUGAAUGUGCGGCAUUAUACUUGAGGCCUAAAAAUAGGCGUGCUUCAUCCCCGCGCGGAGGAUAUCUGCAUUAGCCACCGGAAACACUAUAAAGUGGUUUCCGUUUUAGGAACGAAUGGCUGAAGGCGAUCUCGAGGAACACUCCUCUCUCCUUACCGCUAUAUAUUUUCUUCCCAGGUUGCUUUUACAAUCGAUGUUGGUGGAUUAACGAUCGUAGACAGAUUCUUCCAGCCUCCUUCGAGGAAUUCUCACGUCCGCUGACCUUUCUUCCGUCGUUCGAAUCUCCGCGCGUGGAUCUUCGUUUCGUGACUGACGAAAUAGAUGGACGAACGAAAUAAUCCUUAGAUAUUUUUUUUUCAACAUAAAUAAAUAUACAAGUUGAAUGGAGUACAGAUAUAUAAUAAGGGAGAAUUAGAAGAAAAAAGAUUAGUCCAAUCAAAUGAGUCUGAGCUUUUAAGAGCUUUUAGAGAAGAAAAAAGAAAGAAAAAUCAAAGAAAUGGAAGAAGAGAAGAAUUUUCAAUUAUAAUUGUUGAACGAUCGUGGAAUUUUUCUUCGUAUAAUUUCUUCCAAAGUUAUCGUUCCGUUUUUUCCACUCUCGCAAUUGCGAUUUAAAAUGGCGAAUUACGAAGAACAUGUUAGCAACGUAAAUUUGUGCACAAAUCAUUAGUUGACACGUGAGGCCGAGCAUGGUAAUAGAGGCGAAGGACACCAGCACAGUGCAAUACAAAUUCUCAGUUCGAGCGACUCGCGAUACUGGGCUCGUUGGAAUAUCCUGCAUCUGCAUUCUGAUCCUCGUUCUUUUUCGCCGGAGAAUAUAUUCACAGGCCAUCUCGACCGAGCAACCGAUUCGUCUGAUUCACCUUGAGAGAUGUUGCACGAAGAAAUCUCGAUAGAAUGUAACAGGCUGAAAGCCCGUUAGUUUGAUGCGCCAUCGACCGAAUCGAUCAUCUAUACGUGACUAAUCAUAAACUCAUAGACGAAUAAGAAGGUUACGAAUGGAUUACGUGUUUUGAAAUUUUUUAAUCUGUGAUAAUUUACAUAAUUACAACUAAUACUGACACAAUUUUUUUCAGGAAGAAAUUCUCUAAAAUUUAAUGGAAAACAUAAAGUUUCUCUUAUAUCGCUUUCGUGAUAUAAUUAUUUUUUUUCUAAAUAAAGCGUUUCAAAAUUCGAUCAUCGUCGUUGAUAGAUGCAAAGUGGUAUUUAGAGAGAAGAUCACCUCAAGAUCCCAUAAUCGUGAAGUCUGUAGUUGUUGGGAGUAAAGUGUGGUGAUAAAGUUUAAGUGCAUGGGUUCCAUGAAACUUUCUCUUGCCCGUGACUCAUAGCCCGAGACGUUACAUAGUUUCUUCCUUAUGUCAUAUCUUCGUCAGUUAUCAAUUUAACCGAACGUUAAUUAUCGACGAUGAUGAUUUAUUACUUAAUCGAACACCAACGAGACGUGUUACGAAAUCGUGUUUCCAAUCGAACGAUAUGGAAAUGAAGUUUUACUUUUCGCGCGAGCCAAUUCAAUAGGGAAUUGGUUCAACUUGAGAUUUUUAUCAGCGCUCGUUUUCCAUCUCCAACUCUUGCAUAUUGCGUUUUCUCUUUUUAGAUUUUUCCACGCGAAGAUAUAAUCAUCCCAUAGCAAGAUUUCUGACGGAUUAAUUAAACCAGUCCAUAUGCCGGCGAAAAAUGACCGAGUUACGAAAGACCUUAAGAAUCGACGCGUUCUUCCCCCUCGUGGCCUUGCGCUCCUUCAAAUUAACAAUCUCCGAUUCCCACGAACGGUGGAGGGAAUUUCACGGUCGAGAAACAACCGUGAACUUCGCUUCAGACGCGAUCAAUUUCCAUCCACGGGACGAAAUCUUGUAUGCUCAUUAGUGCGGAAAUCGCAUUAAUAUUAAUGAAUCUCUUUUUGCUCUAAUAUCUCGUCGAGGUAUGAAUUUAUGAAGGAUGGGGGGAAAAAAAAGAAAAAGAAAUGAAAAAUCAGAAACAUGUUGGUCCUCAUCCGCUCCGAUGAGGCUUGGAACAAUACUCUUGUUUGUCGAAGUGGCCCAUCAAUAUAGGUUAUCGCGAUGCUUCCAAAUGACAACGUGAGUCAUGGAUGAAUCAUCGUAAUCAAAAUUUUUCACGCAAUGCAAGCCGAGCUUUCAUAAAUUUAUUAUUUAAAUUCUCUCUCUUUCUCUCUCUGUGAGAAAAUCUGUAUUAAAAGUUUUUCUCUUUUUCCUAAUAAUUUCAAUUCGUUUAAUCAAAAUUGCGCGGAAUCCGGACAGAUUGAAAUCUUGAGAUCAUCGGUUUUGUAUUCGAACAAGGGUGACGCAAAUUUAAUAGGCUCAGUUGAAAUAAAGUGGCGAAAUGGAUUAAACCAAUGUCCCGUAACGAUUGUAUAACCGUGCAAUCGUACUUACGUUGGACGGUAAAUCAACUUACAAAGUUCCACAUACGAUAAGUAUUGACGGUGUCUUACCUGUUCGGGCUUCAUCUCGUUUAGAGAUCCUUAUAUGGCCUGCAACCUUCGAGCAGGCUCACGUUUGAAAAUACACAAUUAUUUAUCUCUGUUGUGGAAUCAUGUUGCGGAAUUACGCAAUCAUGACGACUCUUGAAGUGGGUCAACGAUUUUUCUGAAUAUAAAAUGCGAUUUUUUUCCUUUCUUUUUUUUUUUUUAAAUAUUUAACUCGUCAAUAAAAUUAGAUGUUUAAUUUCUAAGAGAGCCAUCUUUCGAAACUCUACGAUGGAGAUGAAUCGAACACGAUAAUCGUAAAUUCUAAUGCUUCAGGAAUGUUUAGAUUUUUAUAUAUAUAAUAAAAAGUAUGUUAGAUCGAACGAAAAGAAGAGAUAGAAAUACGUCGAAGGAAAUUGCGAUUGAAAGAAAAAAUGAAGAAAAUUUGAUUAAUAAAUGAAUCUGUAUUAGAAAGUGGAUCGUUCAUGUUUAAAUGAAUCUAGAUUGAAAAAAGUGAUCGUUUAUCGUUUAAGGAAAAUCGUUAUACGAUCGAGGAGAAAAAAAAAUCUUUUAUCAGAGAUUUCGACAUCAAUAUGGAAACUUGUCAAACAAGGGACAAUCUUUAAAUGCAGUUCUCCUUGUGCUCGCGAUCAAGGUGAUUCGAUUUAAUCAUGCGCGAUUAUUUCGUUUCUUUUUUUUUUUUUUCCUCUUGAUUCUCGUGAUGAAAUAUCCUCUUUCGUAUUUUUACAUAUUUCCAUUGUCAUGUGACAUUACUGAAUUAAAUGUAAAAAAUUGAAAAGCACAAUUCGAUGUGUAAUCGAUCUGUAAUUAUUAUUACAUUGGUGAUUUGAAACUUCCAACAGGUGCAAAAUUUAAACAGUUUCAAGCUUUGAUAUCAGCUCGAUAUCAAUUUGAUAUUUAUUCUCUAAUAAUUGAUUGAUAGUUUUCUAAAAAAUUGUAUGGAUUCAAAUCUUUCUUAUCAUUUAAUCGAUAAGUAAUAUAAAUGUAAACUUGAAAACUUAUCGUUACACCGAUAAAUAUCAUCGAUAUUUAUUCAUAUCGAUCGAUUGCUCAAUCAUCUUAAUCAUCUUAUUACCGCAAGAAUUGUUAUUAAUGAAAAAAUAAUUCGUUUCAAUCUAGUAAAAAUUGGCAGCUUCUUCAUAAUAGAAAACUCCUAUCAAAUAAAUUGAAUACAAUGACAUUAUCCAUCUGUAUAAAAUAAAAUCUGCAAUAUAAAAUAUAGUUAUUAAAAUUAUAAAAAAUUCAAAGAGGAUUUCGAAUUAAUUAUCUCGAUUUAUCUCGUCGAUCAAAUGAACAAGGUAUCGUUACUUGUCCAAGUUCGCAAGUUGGUUAACAACGUUAAUUCUACGGCCAAUAAAUUAAUCUAAGUGUACUCUGUGUAACAAGGAAAACGAUUUUGCUGGCGGCAGCAUCUUGGUGAAGAGCAAUUCCUUCAAUUUGCCCACUGGUUCAUUGAUAGCCAAGCCUUUGACCCAUUUUUCAUGACCGUGAACGAGCUAGGGAGCCAUUAAAAGCGUCAUUGUCACACAACUACUAGAAAGACACGAAACGAUUCUUUAAUUGCAAACACUUGCCCUGCUAACCGACGUACACUUAUGCUUGGAACAGUCUACGAUACAAGUAAGUAAUUUUUUUUUGCAAAAUAUGUAUUUUUUUUCGAUAAUAAAAAGCUUAAUAAAGCUGAACAUUUAAAGUCAGUCGAUAAAUUGAUGUUAUUAUUAUUAAAUUGGAUACAAUAUAUAUCAUUUUUUGAAUUUAAAUUUCAAGUUUCAUUCAUAAGGGAUAAAAGUAAUUUUUAAAUAUUUUGAUUACUUAUUAGAUAUUUUAAUUAUUUGAUAAAUAAUUACUAUUGAUAAAUAGAGACGAAAUAAAACUGGGCAGCGUCAUUUCAAGUUUCCCGAGAUAUCUAAUCGAACAAAGAUCAGUGAUCAAAUAGAAUUAUUCAAAUCCUAUCGAUUAUCGUGUUAUUGAUAAUUGCAUAUUUUUCCAUCAAAAUAUAUUUAUUAAAUUUACUAUCGAUGUAAAAGUUCUUCGAACAAAGAAAAGAAAUGGCAUCUAAAUUUGAGGAACGAGCGUACUUUUCUGAAGUGGCACAAAUCAGAAAGAGAAGAAAAAUUAUAUCUGCGAGGAUUCAGCUGCAACCCCGCAUAAUUUUGAAUAGAAUAAAUUCCACACCACACCCUUCAAACUCGUUUGAGAAGAUCUCGGCUUCAACAUUUUGUGUGGUAUGCAAUUGGGCAAAGGUAACUUUCUUGAAAUUUAAUGCGACAAAAAGCAUUAUCAUAUUCGAUUAUUUUUUUUUUUUUAUAUAAAUAUUUAAAAAAUUCUUCGUUACAAAUUCGAGGAACAAAAUGAUCAAAGAAUUAAGUUUAUCAAAAUUUAUUAACAUUGAAAGUUUUAUUCUCUCAUAUUUAAUAAUGUAAUAAAUAUAAAAAAGAAAGACAUAACGAUACAUACAUAGAAAUAUAACUAGGACGGAGAAAAUCGCAAAGCAACUAAUGAUGUGUUCGUAUGCAAAUGGGCUCUCAAA
Molecule: long non-coding RNA, 7419 nt
Filed under: Apis mellifera (honey bee)
Lineage: Eukaryota; Metazoa; Arthropoda; Insecta; Hymenoptera; Apidae
Description: uncharacterized LOC107966061, transcript variant X2
Source: RNAcentral